ACAUGUCGUCAAAUCGUC
Molecule: unclassified non-coding RNA, 18 nt
Filed under: Dictyostelium discoideum
Lineage: Eukaryota; Evosea; Eumycetozoa; Dictyosteliales; Dictyosteliaceae
Source: RNAcentral